RNAcentral lists this ribosomal RNA (479 nucleotides) under uncultured bacterium. RNAcentral describes it as "bacterial SSU rRNA". It matches the Rfam family "Bacterial small subunit ribosomal RNA", at positions 15 to 507 of the family's 1533-position model. The record is from RNAcentral.
GAUCAUGGCUCAGGACGAACGCUGGCGGCGUGCUUAACACAUGCAAGUCGAACGGUGACCCAGGGCUUGCCCUGGUGAUCAGUGGCGAACGGGUGAGUAACACGUGGGCAACCUGCCCCUGACUUCGGGAUAACUCCUCGAAAGAGGAGCUAAUACCGGAUACGACCACUUCGGACAUCCGAUGGUGGUGGAAAGUUUUUCGGUCAGGGAUGGGCCCGCGGCCUAUCAGCUAGUUGGUGGGGUAAUGGCCUACCAAGGCGACGACGGGUAGCCGGCCUGAGAGGGCGACCGGCCACACUGGGACUGAGACACGGCCCAGACUCCUACGGGAGGCAGCAGUGGGGAAUAUUGCGCAAUGGGCGAAAGCCUGACGCAGCGACGCCGCGUGAGGGAUGAAGGCCUUCGGGUUGUAAACCUCUUUCAGCAGGGACGAAGCGAAAGUGACGGUACCUGCAGAAGAAGCACCGGCUAACUACGUG